RNAcentral lists this ribosomal RNA (301 nucleotides) under uncultured bacterium. RNAcentral's name for it is "partial 16S ribosomal RNA". It matches the Rfam family "Bacterial small subunit ribosomal RNA", at positions 509 to 809 of the family's 1533-position model. The record is from RNAcentral.
CAGUAGCCGCGGGAAAACGAGGGGGGCAAGCGUUGUUCGGAAUUAUUGGGCGUAAAGGGUGCGUAGGCGGUUUGGCAAGUUUGGUGUGAAAUCUUCGGGCUCAACUCGAAGUCUGCAUCGAAAACUGCCGGGCUUGAGUAUGGGAGAGGUGAGUGGAAUUCCUGGUGUAGCGGUGAAAUGCGCAGAUAUCAGGAGGAACACCGGUGGCGAAGGCGGUUCUCUGGCAAUGUUCUGACGCUGAGGAGCGAAAGUGUGGGGAGCGAACAGGAUUAGAUACCCCAGUAGUCCUGUCUCUUAUACA